UUGAACGCUGGCGGCAUGCCUUACACAUGCAAGUCGAACGGCAGCACGGGAGCAAUCCUGGUGGCGAGUGGUGAACGGGUGAGUAAUGUAUCGGAACGUACCUUUCAGUGGGGGAUAACGUAGCGAAAGUUACGCUAAUACCGCAUAUUCUGUGUGCAGGAAAGCAGGGGAUCGCAAGACCUUGCGCUGAUUGAGCGGCCGAUAUCAGAUUAGCUAGUUGGUGAGGUAAAGGCUCACCAAGGCGACGAUCUGUAGCGGGUCUGAGAGGAUGAUCCGCCACACUGGAACUGAGACACGGUCCAGACUCCUACGGGAGGCAGCAGUGGAGAAUUUUGGACAAUGGGGGCAACCCUGAUCCAGCCAUGCCGCGUGAGUGAAGAAGGCCUUCGGGUUGUAAAGCUCUCUCGGCCGGGAAGAAAUCGCAUGGGUUAAUACCCUGUGCGGAUGACGGUACCGGCAUAAGAAGCACCGGCUAACUACGUG
RNAcentral lists this ribosomal RNA (483 nucleotides) under uncultured bacterium. Its description in RNAcentral is "bacterial SSU rRNA". It matches the Rfam family "Bacterial small subunit ribosomal RNA", at positions 30 to 507 of the family's 1533-position model. The record is from RNAcentral.